GACCUGGCGGCCCGCCCAGACGGAAGCCAUACCAAGGCCCCUGCAGCCUGAGAUGUGGUCCCUGGGUCCCACCCCAAAAUCAGCUGCAGGACUUGGGGUGUCACAACGCGACUGCCUGUGUUCUUUCGCAGUGUCAUUUUUGCGGUGCAUUUUUCAGUAGCGUUUUCGUUUUAGGCUGUGUUUCUCAUAGUCUAUGGAUCCAGAGGAAUAUCACUACCUUCAAGCUAGCGUGCCAUACAGAAGAGUAAAAUGUUGCUCCGGGGUGGCUAGGAAGUAUGCAAAUGUGGCCUUCAGAACGAAGAAACUUGGAGACAUUUGGCAGUUAAUAAUGGACAGGAACUUCUGUUGACCAGCCUGACCUGGAAUUCAGCAAGUAGCCAAAGAUAACAUUGAACUCAAGUUCUCCCAGCCUCUGCCUACGAAGUACUGGGGUUAUAGACAUGGGCACUAUGUCAGGCUUUGCACAAAAUAUUGUCUCAGCAUUGUUCAUGCUUGCCAAGCUCAGAAGCAAACAAACUGAACAUCAGUCGGUGAGUACAUACGUAAACUGGCUCCUUUGGGCAAUGGAAUACAUCUCAGCAGCAAAAGCAAGUUAAGACAAAAACAUAAGACAAGCUGUGGUGGCUACUUUAUUUGUCAACUUAGCUAUAUCUGGGAUUAAUGAAAAACCAAAAGUGACUGGGCUUACCUUUGAGAGAUUUUUGCUUAAGUGAGUUUGAGGACAACCUGGUCAACAGAGCAAGUUCCCAGAACAACCAAGGACACACAGAAAAACCCUGCCUCAGGGAAAAAAGAAAAAGCAAAGCAAACAAACAAGUAAAACCUCACUGAAAAUGGAAAGAAAUUAUCCCAUGCCUCCUAUCAGAUCACUACUGAUUAAGGCUGGUCUUCAAUAGCAACAAAAACAACAAAAAGCCC
Molecule: long non-coding RNA, 918 nt
Filed under: Mus musculus (house mouse)
Lineage: Eukaryota; Metazoa; Chordata; Mammalia; Rodentia; Muridae
Description: predicted gene, 36278
Source: RNAcentral